Molecule: long non-coding RNA, 296 nt
Filed under: Phoenix dactylifera (date palm)
Lineage: Eukaryota; Viridiplantae; Streptophyta; Magnoliopsida; Arecales; Arecaceae
Description: long non-coding RNA (PDAC_LNC003752)
Source: RNAcentral
GCACCAAAUUAUGUAGCCCAGAAAUUUGAGUAUGCAAAAAUUACUGCAAAAAUCUAUUAGUAACCCAGAAGUGCUGAAAAGAGUCUAGACAGUAGGCACGAUCUUGUCGAUCCUAAUCCAUCUUCUCCGCAGAGAAAAAAUUUAGUAGGUGGCUUAUCGUUUACAGCACAUAUUGAUGUCUCUAAUAUCAAAUGUUGCUCAUCUCCAUUACAAAGGAGGCACUAACCUAGUUUGAGCUGCUCCGAUCCCCUUAAAACAUAUUUUUGCCAUAGUUGGUAUGAUUCUCGAGGACGAAG